This 21-nucleotide non-coding RNA is filed under the name Arabidopsis thaliana (thale cress). The record is from RNAcentral. Lineage: Eukaryota; Viridiplantae; Streptophyta; Magnoliopsida; Brassicales; Brassicaceae.
UAAUAGGUGCAAGGAACCUUC